Molecule: ribosomal RNA, 253 nt
Filed under: uncultured bacterium
Lineage: Bacteria
Description: partial 16S ribosomal RNA
Rfam family: Bacterial small subunit ribosomal RNA
Source: RNAcentral
UACGAAGGUCCCAAGCGUUGUUCGGAAUCACUGGGCGUAAAGGGAGCGUAGGCGGCGUGGUAAGUCAGAUGUGAAAUCCCGGGGCUCAACCCCGGAACUGCAUCCGAUACUGCCAUGCUAGAGGAUUGGAGAGGUAGCUGGAAUUCUUGGUGUAGCAGUGAAAUGCGUAGAGAUCAAGAGGAACACUCGUGGCGAAAGCGAGCUACUGGACAAUUCCUGACGCUGAGGCUCGAAGGCUAGGGGAUCAAACAGG